AUGCAGUACUUGCAGCAGACCACUGAUUCCCCUCGGAUCGUGUUCAGGUAUUGCAUCUUUCUGGAUGAUGAAACAAUAUACCUCCUGAAUCAUCAGCACCGUGUCGUGGAGCAUCUUGGUGUCCCACACAAUUCUUCCCCUUCAGGUAUUAUGACCAAGCUCAGCCCCUCUGUGUUUGUGAAGUAUCACAGUCUCCUGUAUUGCCCAGUAAGAUCCAGUCUUGGUGCCUACCAGUGUGCUAAGUGCCUGCUCUUGCUUUGGCUAAAGUGGUUAGUCUUAUUUCCAAAGCUCCCCUUGCCUCAGAUAGCAGCCUAGGGCUGCAGGGUAUACUUUUUCUAGCAAGGAAAUGGCUAUCAGCCCAAAGUCAGUAAAUCAGAAGAACAAAGGCAAGCUUGUAAGGAAAUCUUCUGGAAAUACCUUUAUUACCCAGCCUUCCCUUAGCUUCAUUGCAUUCAGACUUGUUUAUGCAUGUGACACUGGCUCAAAAAUAGCUUUAUGCUCACUGUGCUGCUUUUAUUUUCUUUAGACUACAGAUGCCCAGGGCCUGGUCCAAAGUCUACCGGAACAAAUGGGACUCUUUCCACUGCUUUCAGUGGAGUUUGGAUCACAUUCCUCAGGAGGGUCACGUUCAUUUCCUCCUAAAAUUACAAAGCAUCUGAAAAUAGACGGCAUCAGAUUAGCUUAUUCUUGAAAGAUUUGCAAGAUGAUCUCAUGAAGUCUGACAAAUCAGAUGUCUCUAGAUCAAUAUGUGGAUGCUCUGUCUCAGAUGGACUUUUUGGAGAGUUACUCAUCUCAAGUAGAAAGGCAUAAUGAAGAACAAGUUUUGCCUUUUGGUGGCUCCUAGUUACAGCUUUUUUUCACCAAACCAAUUUCAAUAACUAGUACACUUGGGAGGUUAGAGUCUUUCAUUAUUUAACAAGGAACACCAUAAUCUACAAGCACUGUCUCCCUAAAUAUAGUUGCAGAUAGGGAGAAAAUGUUUCUACCACAGGGGUGGGCAAAAUGCAGCCCGGGGGCCAGGUGUGGCCUGACAGGCUAUUCUAUCUGGCCCGCAGGGUUCCUAAAAAAUGAAUAUUUAUCUGCCCUGGCCUGCCUGUCAUGCAGCCCUUAAUGGCUUGCCAAAACUCAGUAAGCAGCCCUCCACCCAAAAUAAUUGCCCACCCCUGCUCUACGACUUUUGUCAUCACUGUAGAAAGGCAAAUGCUAUAUUUAUAAUUGCACCGACUUCUUAGGGACCCAUGUUUGCAGUCUCUGCUGUAAUUAAGUACCAAUAAAGCCAGCUACACACUGGCUGUGUCUACA
RNAcentral lists this long non-coding RNA (1302 nucleotides) under Crocodylus porosus (Australian saltwater crocodile). Its description in RNAcentral is "lncRNA (ENSCPRG00005009788.1)". The record is from RNAcentral. Lineage: Eukaryota; Metazoa; Chordata; Crocodylia; Crocodylidae.